UUGAUGAGCGUUUUCCUUUUUCUGUGUCAUUCAGAAAGUAGUACCAUUCUUCAUGGUGGUAUGAGGGAUAAGAUGCAUAUUUGAAUUAUCCUAUACGAGCACAAGAACGAAUAUAUGCUGCUAUAUACUUGAUUGAUUUGAAUAGAUGAAUGCAGAGUGUAGGAAGUGGAGUGAGGAACAGGUCCAACCUCCAAAUUAAAGUAAACGGACUGGUGGGAGGAAAAAAACAAAAGGGGACAUUUUACUGCAAUGGAAGAGGGCUGAAUGACAUAAGAAGAAGAAAAAAGUACUUUUCGGGUGAUAUGUAAAGAUAAGUAAUGGCAGUCAUCUUCAUUAUUCGAGCACGAGGCAUAUAAAAGACAGCAAUGAGGUUAAAACGGUUCCUCUCUCAGUUUAUUCCUUUUAGGACCACCAUUUGAUGCUUUUGUAAAAAAAGGGGAAGAGAUAGAUCAUAGAACAAACACAAGACUUGAGCUAUGGAGAGGCAAUGAAUCUCUUAAUUUGGUUGAAGGUAUUGUACUUACUGUUAGCUGGUGAGAUUUGUUUCUGUCAAUAUUUCUGCAAAUUUCAGUUUUUGUUGUUGUUGUGUACGUGUGUGUCAUCUUUAUAUCUCUACUAUUGGUUCUGAGGUGCUCAAAGGGUGAAUUACUCAAGGGAAUUACUAUCUGCCACAGAAUCUUGAAGAUCAAGUCUGUGGAUUUAAUGGUAUCUUAAUUUUUUUAUGUUUUUGUAUAUUGUUCACAUAGAAGUACAAUGAGUUAAUUUUUUUGUUCCUUUUCUUUCACUGGCUUUGUUCAUAACGACAAUAUGACGACUAAUCAGCUUAAUUUGCCUUUUACUUAUGUAAGAGAUCAUGUUUUUUUGUAGUUACCUUCUUAAUACAUCUUUGGUACUGCAGAAUCAUUUGGCUUUCAAAGUCCACAAGCUCUAUGGAGUAUGGAAAGUUAUAAUUAAUUUGGUUUAAUUACAAAGCUAGGCUGUUUAUUACAAUUGGAGAAUUUGUAAUGCAUACUGCAACUUCAAAGUUUUGAUUUGUUCUCUUUGAUGUAGUUGAUGAUGGUUGAUGAUUAGUUUUCCCGACUUUAUGGGAAAUCAAGUUUCAUGUGCCAUGUGAAUUCGGUGUCUAUAAUAAUGCCUUUUCUACUAAAGCAAGAUA
Long non-coding RNA from Rosa rugosa (rugosa rose), 1156 nucleotides. RefSeq lists it as uncharacterized. Lineage: Eukaryota; Viridiplantae; Streptophyta; Magnoliopsida; Rosales; Rosaceae. The record is from RefSeq and is a predicted model, not a curated record. The transcript has 3 exons.